AUAUGUGAGGCUUCUUAUCCUGGCUGUGAUAUACCUACAACAACAGACCAAUUUAACAGGUCUUGUUCUGUUCGACCAAUCGUUCAUAUAGAACCCUCAACCAGUCCAUAUAAAGUUAUAGAAGGGGGACAACUCGUGUUGACUUGUCAAGUAACCAAUUCAGAUUUAGCAGUGCUGUCUGGUAUUUAUAAAUGGAAUAAGAAUGGUGUACUACAGAUACCAGGUCAAAGUUCAUCUAUAUAUAGAAUGCAACCAGUAGAGAGAUCAGAUACAGGCAAUAAUUAUACCUGUACAGGUAGUAAUAGUGCUGGCCCAGGUAGAUCAUCUACACCUGUACAACUUGAUGUUUUAUUGGGUCCUAUAGUAACGGUAUCAGUUGAUUCUGUAACUAAAACAGAGAAUGACGACCUACAGUUGAUCUGUACCGUUGAAUCAAAUCCACCACCAACAACCUUUAAAUGGUAUAAACCAGGUGGUAGUAGUGUUGAUGUAUCUUCUAAUGGACGACUUGAUAUAACUAGAAUUACCAGGAAUCAGGGUGGUAUAUAUAGAUGAGAAGCCACUACUACUCUAGUACCAACUGAUGGUAGUCCUAUAACCAGAUCUGAUAAUAAAACUAUAAAUGUUACUG
Patella vulgata (common limpet) is the source of this 631-nucleotide long non-coding RNA. RefSeq lists it as uncharacterized. The transcript is spliced from 3 exons. The record is from RefSeq and is a predicted model, not a curated record. Lineage: Eukaryota; Metazoa; Mollusca; Gastropoda; Patellidae.